This is an RNA transcript of Manis javanica (Malayan pangolin), 3061 nucleotides long. It is a transcript of the gene named procollagen-lysine,2-oxoglutarate 5-dioxygenase 1, with no coding region annotated. The record is from RefSeq and is a predicted model, not a curated record. Lineage: Eukaryota; Metazoa; Chordata; Mammalia; Pholidota; Manidae.
CAGUGCGUGGCAGCCGGACUGCCGGCCCCGUCGCGAAGUUUCCAGCCUGCUCUCGCCGCCGGGCUGGGCAGACGUCCCAAGGCCACGGCCAUGCGGCCCCUGCUGCUCCUGGCCCCGCUGGGCUGGCUGCUCCUGGCCGAAGCGAAGGGCGACGCCAAGCCGGAGGAAAACCUUUUAGUUCUCACGGUGGCCACGAAAGAGACCGAGGGGUUCCGACGCUUCAAGCGCUCAGCCCAGUUCUUCAACUACAAGAUCCAGGCAUUGGGCCUGGGGGAGGAUUGGAAUGGGAAGAAGGAGACGUCUGCAGGUGGAGGGCUGAAGGUCCGGCUGCUGAAGAAAGCUCUGGAGAAGCAUGCAGACAAGGAGAACCUGGUCAUUCUAUUCACAGACAGCUACGAUGUGUUGUUUGCAUCGGGGCCCCGAGAGCUCCUGAAAAAGUUCCGGCAGUCCAGGAGCCGGGUGAUCUUCUCGGCAGAGGAGCUCAUCUACCCCGACCGCAGGCUGGAGGCCAAGUACCCCGCGGUGUCCAACGGCAAGAGGUUCCUGGGCUCCGGUGGCUUCAUCGGUUAUGCCCCCAACCUCCACAAACUGGUGGCUGAGUGGGAGGGCCAGGACAGCGACAGUGACCAGCUAUUUUAUACCAAGAUUUUCUUGGACCCAGAGAAGAGGGAGCAGAUCAAUGUUACCCUGGACCACCGCUGCCGUAUCUUCCAGAACCUGGAUGGAGCACUGGAUGAGGUCGUGCUCAAGUUUGAAAUGGGCCACGUGAGAGCAAGGAACCUAGCCUACGACACCCUCCCAGUCCUCAUUCAUGGCAACGGGCCCACUAAGCUGCAGCUGAACUACCUGGGCAACUACAUCCCGCGGUUCUGGACCUUUGAGACUGGCUGCGCCGUGUGUGACGAGGGCCUGCGCAGCCUGAAGGGCAUCGGGGAUGAAGCUCUGCCCACAGUCCUGGUCGGUGUGUUCCUAGAGCAGCCCACGCCUUUCCUGACCCUGUUCUUCCAGCGGCUUCUGCGCCUCCACUACCCCCAGAAACGGAUGCGACUUUUCAUUCACAACCACGAGCAACAUCAUAAGGCCCAGGUGGAGCGGUUCCUGGCAGAGCAUGGUGGCAAGUAUCAGUCCGUGAAGCUGGUGGGCCCCGAGGUGCGGAUGUCGAACGCUGACGCCAGGAACAUGGGCGCGGACUUGUGCCGGCAGGACCGUGGCUGCACCUACUACUUCAGCGUGGAUGCUGAUGUGGCCUUGACGGAGCCCCAAACCCUUCGAGUGCUGAUAGAGCAGAAUAAGAACGUCAUCGCCCCGUUGAUGACCCGCCAUGGGAGGCUGUGGUCAAACUUCUGGGGGGCACUGAGUGCUGAUGGCUACUACGCACGCUCGGAGGACUACGUGGACAUAGUGCAGGGGCGGCGUGUUGGGGUCUGGAAUGUGCCCUACAUCUCGAACAUCUACCUGAUCAAGGGCAGUGCCCUGCGGGCUGAGCUGCAGCAGACAGACCUGUUCCACCACCGAAAGCUGGACCCUGACAUGGCCUUCUGUGCCAAUAUCCGGCUGCAGGACGUGUUCAUGUUCCUGACCAACCGGAACGCCUUUGGCCACCUGCUCUCCCUGGACAGCUACCAGACCACCCACCUCCACAACGACCUCUGGGAGGUGUUCAGCAACCCGGAGGACUGGAAGGAGAAGUAUAUCCAUGAGAACUACACCAAGGCUCUGGCAGGGAAGCUGGUGGAGACGCCUUGCCCGGACGUCUACUGGUUCCCCAUCUUCACGGACACGGCCUGUGACGAGCUGGUGGAGGAGAUGGAGCACUACGGCCAGUGGUCUCUGGGGGAUAACAAGGACAGCCGCAUUCAGGGUGGCUAUGAAAACGUGCCAACCAUCGACAUCCACAUGAACCAGAUCAGCUUUGAGCGGGAGUGGCACAAGUUCCUGGUGGAGUAUAUCGCCCCCAUGACGGAGAAGCUCUACCCGGGCUACUAUACCAGGACACCUGCUUUGCCUGAGCCUGGGCUCUGCCCUCAAGGAAUCACCAGCCUAGGCCCAGUUCGACCUGGCCUUUGUCGUCCGCUACAAGCCUGACGAGCAGCCCUCGCUCAUGCCCCACCACGAUGCCUCCACCUUCACCAUCAACAUCGCCCUGAACCGGGUCGGGCUGGAUUAUGAGGGCGGGGGCUGUCGGUUCCUGCGCUACAACUGCUCCGUCCGAGCCCCACGGAAAGGCUGGACCCUCAUGCACCCUGGGCGACUCACGCACUACCACGAGGGGCUCCCUACCACCAAGGGCACCCGUUACAUCGCUGUCUCCUUCGUUGAUCCAUAAUUGGCCAGGCCUGCCCACCUCGGACCUUUUCUCUUUGCCAACAACCACUGCCCAGCAGCCUCUGGGGCCUCAGGGUCCCAGAGAACCCGGGCCAGCCUCCAGGCUUUGGACCUCCCAUUGCCCUUGGAGCCACCAACAGAGGGACUGGGCUGCAGGCCAGAGGCAGAGCGCACCUCCUUGGCUGGGGCUCUCCGGGUGCUCUGGCCCCGCCCUGGGAGGUGCUGAUCACUUUCCCGGUUUUGUAGCAACUCGUCCUUUCCCGCCUGUCUUCCUGAAGAACCCAGUCGCCCUUCCUCUGCUUCUUCCUUGGGACGGGACUUGGGCAGAAUGAGGGCUUACACCACUGCCCAGAGAGCCUCUGGGAGAGAAGCCGGGCUCCAGAGCGUCUCCAGGCAGGGCUGCUGCCCCGGGGACUUCUGCUUCAAGUUUCAGGGUGGACACAGAGACCUGAAUCAGACUCAAGUCUCUACCCUGCCCCCAGGACUGCUGAAGCCCCUUCCUCCAUGGCUCCUGUCAGGAGACCAAUAACAUUGUGCCCUGGAGAUGGUGACUCAGAAAACCUCCUGGGAGACAGGAAAAGCAUCAGUGCCUCAGAUCUAUCCUCUACUUGACCCUUGCUUGUGGGAAGGGGAGUGAUGUCCACACACUGCAGUGCAUCCCCCUGUCCUGAUUACCUGCGGAGAGAGGGACAGGCCGUCAGAGACAGGAGAGUUUCUAUUAAAGGUCUCAAACCAC